GGUAAGGACUUGGAUUUUAUUCAAAAUGUAAUCCCCUGGAGGAUUUUACGCAGUUGAAAAUGAUCUCUCUGGCUGCAUUGAGGAGCUGCUCUGGAACAGGCAAGAGUGGAAGCAGGGAACCCAGGCGAGAGGAACCCAGACGAGAGGAACCCAGGCGAGAGGCCACUGUCAAGGAAAAGAGGAAGGAGAAAUGGAUACAAAAGAGAAAUAGGGAUUUGCUUAAGUGGAUAGUUACAGCAGCCGAAUGGACUAAGGCAGUGGCCUUGUAAGAAGAAGCCAGAACACUCUCCCUGUCUCCAGACACGCACACCAGUGAAAGGCCAUGUGAGCACACAGUGAGAAGGCGGCCAUCUGCAAGCUAGAAAGACAGCCCUCACCAGAGCCCAA
Molecule: long non-coding RNA, 387 nt
Organism: Lemur catta (Ring-tailed lemur)
Lineage: Eukaryota; Metazoa; Chordata; Mammalia; Primates; Lemuridae
Exons: 4
Source: RefSeq, a predicted model, not a curated record